RNAcentral lists this long non-coding RNA (440 nucleotides) under Ananas comosus (pineapple). Its description in RNAcentral is "long non-coding RNA (ACOM_LNC006638)". Lineage: Eukaryota; Viridiplantae; Streptophyta; Magnoliopsida; Poales; Bromeliaceae. The record is from RNAcentral.
GUAAGAGAAAUAAAAUUAUAACGAAAUUAUAUUGAAAUAUACUUCUCUAUUUUUUUUCGUGAGACUGUAAAAUUUAUAUUAUAAUUGAUUUAUGUUGAUUUGCAGAACUUGAUAUUACAUACGAAAGAGUAAAAAAUUUUUAUUUUUUGACUGCACGUAUUGUAAGUUUUCGACAAUCUGAAAUAAAGUUGUGAAUGAAUGAGACAACACUAAAUGAGAAUCUUGGGAUAAAAAGAAGGGGGGAAUCUUAGUGUUGGAGAGAAAAUGGUUCUAUGAAGUUUUGUGGUUAAUUUCAGAAUAAAAGUGAAAAAAAAAAAGGAACCAUUGGAAAUCAUUAAACAGAUCUAAAUGGUUAUUCCAGGUGUGACCAGUUAUGUUCUUUCCAGUUGUGAUCAGAGGUCAAAUUGGUAUGCAUAAUAUAUUAAUAUGUAUGUUUUAUA